UGAAGUCAAUGCAGACCCUCCACUUACCAUUGGCCUUCUUCACUAAAACAACAUUGGCAAGCCAAUCGGGAUAUUGGACCUCCCGAAUGAACUAAGCACUGAUGAGUUUGUUAAUUUCUUCGCGAAUGACCUCCCGACGUUCUGGGGCAAACUGUCUUUUCCUCUGCUUUACUGGUCUGGCCCCUGGGCUAAUGUUAAGCCUAUGGACUGCAAUUUUAGGGUCUAUCCCUCACAUAUCCUCAACCUUCCAGGCAAAAACGUCAAUAUUGCGAGAUAAGCAACCAACAAGUUCUGUCUUUAGGGUGACGUCAAGAUCCCGACCAAUCGUCACCUUCGUAUCAUGCUCGAGCUCAAUUUUCAUCAAUUCUUCGACAGGAGCAAGUCUG
RNAcentral lists this long non-coding RNA (386 nucleotides) under Olea europaea (common olive). RNAcentral describes it as "long non-coding RNA (OEUR_LNC013082)". The record is from RNAcentral. Lineage: Eukaryota; Viridiplantae; Streptophyta; Magnoliopsida; Lamiales; Oleaceae.